GUGCCAGCAGCCGCGGUAAGACGUAGGAAGCAAGCGUUGUCCGGAAUUACUGGGCGUAAAGAGCUCGUAGGCGGGAUCGUAAGUCUUAGAGUAAAUCUCACGGCUCAACCGUGGGGCCUUCUGAGAUACUGCGAUUCUUGAGGAUGUCAGAGGAAAGUGGAAUUCCCGGUGUAGCGGUGAGAUGCGUAGAUAUCGGGAGGAACACCAGUGGCGAAGGCGACAUUCUGGGACAUUCCUGUCGCUGAGGAGCGAAAGCKYGGGGAGCAAACGGGAUUAGAUACCCCGGUAGUCCACGCGGUAAACGAUGGAUAUUAGGUGUGGGAGGUAUCGACUCCUUCCGUGCCGUCGCUAACGCAUUAAAUAUCCCGCCUGGGGAGUACGGUCGCAAGGCUGAAACUCAAAGAAAUUGACGGGA
Molecule: ribosomal RNA, 415 nt
Filed under: uncultured bacterium
Lineage: Bacteria
Description: bacterial SSU rRNA
Rfam family: Bacterial small subunit ribosomal RNA
Source: RNAcentral